GGCAAGAGGGUGAAGCAAAUGAAAACUACCUAUCUAGUCAAGGUUAAAUGAGGCCGGAAGCAACGAACAACAAUUCCGGUAAAUCCCCAUAGCAUAUUUUAGAUUUGGUACUGUUCUGCCCUAAACAAUAUUUUAGAGUUGUUAAACAUGCAAGAUGAGUGCACCAUGUUAAACUAGGCAAAAUUCUACCCCAUUUACAUAUAAAGUUUAUUUAAAUCGGAGCUACGGUUAUUUAGUUAUGAAU
This 244-nucleotide ribosomal RNA is filed under the name Triticum aestivum (bread wheat). Its description in RNAcentral is "partial small subunit ribosomal RNA". The record is from RNAcentral. Lineage: Eukaryota; Viridiplantae; Streptophyta; Magnoliopsida; Poales; Poaceae.